This is a long non-coding RNA of Agrilus planipennis (emerald ash borer), 580 nucleotides long. RefSeq lists it as uncharacterized. NCBI's taxonomy places the organism in Eukaryota, Metazoa, Arthropoda, Insecta, Coleoptera, Buprestidae. The record is from RefSeq and is a predicted model, not a curated record. The transcript has 2 exons.
CAUAUGUCAAACUACGUGACGAACAUAUCUUAAAUUGAUGUAGUGCAAAUAUUUAUUUUCACUCAAAAUGAGAGAUAUAAAGAAACAAAGGUUUUUAAGUCCGGAAUCGUUGCUUUUGUCAACCAAAACAAAUAGACAGUGGAGAUAUUCUUGUCUGGGGGACCCCAUAUUGAAGGAACGUCUGCGAAAACAAUUGAGACAUAAAAGAAAGGAAAUUGUUAAGAACAAAGAAAUGUUCACGAGAUCGACGGGGAAACAACGCCAAUCUUUAUACAAUACAAGCAGACCGAAAAUUUCAACAUCCGAUACAUAUUCCGUGUCAAUUUCUCAAAUUCAAUAUCUGAAGGUAUAUCGAAACUCAGCAUUUAUUUUCGGUUCAAAGAGGAAAUAUGAUGAAGGCUCUCCUAUGUGCUCGAAGAAACUAAAAGUAAGAAGAAUUCGCUGAUUCUAUUCACAUAUUUGUAUCUAUAUUACGCUGACAGUUCUUUUUACAUACUUUUACAAUGUAUACGAUACUUAUUAUAUACAUAUAUACUUUGUAAUUAGAAUAACAUAGAGAUUCUCAAUUUCUUUUUCUAAU